Molecule: transfer-messenger RNA, 140 nt
Filed under: Gammaproteobacteria bacterium
Lineage: Bacteria; Pseudomonadati; Pseudomonadota; Gammaproteobacteria
Description: partial transfer-messenger RNA
Rfam family: transfer-messenger RNA
About the family: Bacterial tmRNA, also known as 10Sa RNA or SsrA, is named for its dual tRNA and mRNA-like properties. Its role is to liberate the mRNA from a stalled ribosome.
Source: RNAcentral
AGCGUUAACAAGUUCUGAACUGGUUGUCGGUUUUCCCUGCCCGUCGGGUAACCGAUAAUAAGAUCAAUAGACUGGAUAAGCAUGUAGAUCCCUGAGCGGAGUGCUUGCGGACGCGGGUUCGAUUCCCGCCGCCUCCACCA